UGCAGUCGAACGAAGUAGCAAUACUUAGUGGCAGACGGGUGAGUAACAUGUAGGUAUCUGCCCUUUGGCCUGGAAUAACACGAGGAAACUUGUGCUAAUACCGGAUAAGUCUUUACGGAGAAAGCUUUAUGCACCAUUGGAUGAGCCUGCACUUGAUUAGUUUGUUGGUAGGGUAAUGGCCUACCAAGACUGUGAUCAAUAGCUGAUUUGAGAGGAUGAUCAGCCACAUUGGGACUGAGACACGGCCCAAACUCCUACGGGAGGCAGCAGUGGGGAAUCUUGCACAAUGGAGGAAACUCUGAUGCAGCGAUGCCGCGUGAGUGAAGAAGGCCUUUGGGUUGUAAAGCUCUUUCGUCGGGGAAGAAAAUGACUGUACCCGAAUAAGAAGGUCCGGCUAACUUCGUGCCAGCAGCCGCGGUAAUACGAAGGGACCUAGCGUAGUUCGGAAUUACUGGGCCUAAAGAGUUCGUAGGUGGUUGAAAAAGUUGGUGGUGAAAUCCCAGAGCUUAACUCUGGAUCUGCCAUCAAAACUUUUCAGCUAGAGUUUGAUAGAGGAAAGCAGAAUUUCUAGUGUAGAGGUGAAAUUCGUAGAUAUUAGAAAGAAUACCAAUUGCGAAGGCAGCUUUCUGGAUCAUUACUGACACUGAGGAACGAAAGCAUGGGUAGCGAAGAGGAUUAGAUACCCUCGUAGUCCAUGCCGUAAACGAUGUGUGUUAGACGUUGGAAAUUUAUUUUCAGUGUCGCAGCAAAAGCGAUAAACACACCGCCUGGGGAGUACGACCGCAAGGUUAAAACUCAAAUGAAUUGACGGGGACCCGCACAAGUAGUGGAGCAUGUGGUUUAAUU
This 846-nucleotide ribosomal RNA is filed under the name uncultured marine bacterium. Its description in RNAcentral is "bacterial SSU rRNA". It matches the Rfam family "Bacterial small subunit ribosomal RNA", at positions 56 to 951 of the family's 1533-position model. The record is from RNAcentral.